Molecule: ribosomal RNA, 1273 nt
Filed under: metagenome
Description: bacterial LSU rRNA
Rfam family: Bacterial large subunit ribosomal RNA
Source: RNAcentral
UGAGGCGAGUAGCCUCAGGGGCCCGAGAGAACUCUCCUCCAAGGAACUAGGCAAAUUGACACCGUAACUUCGGAAGAAGGUGUGCCCUCUGUAAGUGAAGGCGUACAGCUGGAGCUGAAGAGGGUUGCAGAGAAUAGGGGGUAGCGACUGUUUACCAAAAACACAGGACUCUGCGAAGGCGAGAAGCCGACGUAUAGGGUCUGACUCCUGCCCGGUGCUGGAAGGUUAAGGGGAUCCGUCAGCGCAAGCGAAGCGGUGAUCCGAAGCCCCAGUAAACGGCGGCCGUAACAAUAACGGUCCUAAGGUAGCGAAAUUCCUUGUCGGGUAAGUUCCGACCUGCACGAAAGGAGUAACGACUUCCCCACUGUCUCGGAGAGGGACUCGGCGAAAUUGAAAUAGCUGUGCCGAUGCAGUUUACCCGCGGAAAGACGGAAAGACCCCGUGAACCUUUACUACAACUUGACAGUGACACUAGGGGUUGGCUGUGUAGCAUAGGUGGGAGCCUUUGAAGCUGGGCCGCUAGGUUCAGUGGAGGCGCAAUGUGAAAUACCACCCUGCUGACUUCUGGUGUCUAACCACGGCCCGUAAUCCGGGUCUGGGACACUGUCUGGUGGGUAGUUUGACUGGGGCGGUCGCCUCCCAAAGAGUAACGGAGGCGCGCGAUGGUUCCCUCAGCCUGAUUGGAAACCAGGCGUCGAGUGCAAUGGCAUAAGGGAGCUUGACUGCAAGAGCGACGGCUCGAGCAGGUGCGAAAGCAGGUCAUAGUGAUCCGGUGGUUCUGAAUGGAAGGGCCAUCGCUCAACGGAUAAAAGGUACUCCGGGGAUAACAGGCUUAUCUCCUCCAAGAGUUCACAUCGACGAGGAGGUUUGGCACCUCGAUGUCGGCUCAUCGCAUCCUGGGGCUGGAGCAGGUCCCAAGGGUUAGGCUGUUCGCCUAUUAAAGCGGUACGCGAGCUGGGUUCAAAACGUCGUGAGACAGUUUGGUCCCUAUCUUCCGUGGGCGUAGGAGGCUUGAGAGGCUCUGACCUUAGUACGAGAGGACCGGGUUGGACACAUCUCUGGUGUACCAGUUGUCACGCCAGUGGCAUCGCUGGGUAGCUAUAUGUGGAUUGGAUAACCGCUGAAAGCAUCUAAGCGGGAAACCGACCUCAAGAAUUGGCCUCCCGGGAGCAAUCCCAUGAAGACCCGUCGUAGACUACGACGUUGAUAGGCCGGGUGUGUAAGUGCAGCAAUGCAUUGAGCUAACCGGUACUAAUUGGUCGUUCGGCUUACC